CCUACGGGAGGCAGCAGUGAGGAAUAUUGGUCAAUGGACGCAAGUCUGAACCAGCCAUGCCGCGUGCAGGAAGACGGCUCUAUGAGUUGUAAACUGCUUUUGUACGAGGGUAAACGCAGAUACGCGUAUCUGUCUGAAAGUAUCGUACGAAUAAGGAUCGGCUAACUCCGUUCCAGCGGCCGCGGUAAUACGGAGGAUUCAAGCGUUAUCCGGAUUUAUUGGGUUUAAAGGGUGCGUAGGCGGUCGGAUAAGUUAGAGGUUAAAUCCCGAGGCUCAACUUCGGAAUUGCCUCUGAGACUGUUCGGCUAGAGAGUAGUUGCGGUAGGCGGAAUGUAUGGUGUAGCGGUGAAAUGCUUAGAGAUCAUACAGAACACCGAUUGCGAAGGCAGCUUACCAAGCUACUUCUGACGUUGAGGCACGAAAGCGUGGGGAGCAAACAGGAUUAGAUACCCCAGUAGUC
This 460-nucleotide ribosomal RNA is filed under the name uncultured bacterium. Its description in RNAcentral is "partial 16S ribosomal RNA". It matches the Rfam family "Bacterial small subunit ribosomal RNA", at positions 338 to 795 of the family's 1533-position model. The record is from RNAcentral.